Long non-coding RNA from Pollicipes pollicipes, 1084 nucleotides. RefSeq lists it as uncharacterized. The record is from RefSeq and is a predicted model, not a curated record. The transcript is spliced from 4 exons. NCBI's taxonomy places the organism in Eukaryota, Metazoa, Arthropoda, Thecostraca, Pollicipedomorpha, Pollicipedidae.
GACAUCUUCAACGUGGCCAACGAAUGCCAGUACUCUGACGACUACAAGAAGUGUCUGACAGAAGGUCUGGGCUCCAAUGGGGCGGCCGCCGAGCUGCUGGAGUUUGCCGCUGACCCCGAUUACCACAUCGUCGGCUCCAGCUUCUCCAGCUUCCACACCUCUAUCAACUUCCAGGCUACUCAGAGAAAUCAGAUUUUCCUUAACCGCUGUCUGAAGAUCGAGAAGCCCGAAGAAGUUUCCCAGUCCGCUGAGGCUUAUCCCGAAGUUGUCCCGGAAGCUUCCGAGACGAUCCCCAAUGAAGCUGAAGACCCCGAGUACAAUCCUGAGGUCUCCGGUCUCCCAGAAACCGCUCCUGAGGAGGCUGCCAUUGCUCCAGAGGAGUCCUCGGAAGAGGUUCCUGUCGUCCCUGAAGAAUCCCCUGAGGAGCUCCCUGCCUCCUCGGAGGUAGUCCCGGAAGAGAUUCCGUCCGUCCCCGAAGUCCUCCCCGAAGAGGUGGCUGCAGCUCCUGAAGCUCCUGAAGCUCCCGAGGCUCCGCCCGCUGAGCCGGAGGAAGCUGCCGAAGCUGAGAAAACCGACGGCGAGGAUGCCCCUUCCUACGAACCGUGAAAAGCUGGACAACGUUGGUGCCUUCUGGCUGAAAGAACGUCUGUUACGAUGAGGUUGUAUCACACUCAGCACCUGCCCUCACGCCGUGUCGUCUCGGGGCAGAGUUGACACGAGAGGUUAAUUCCAAAUGAAGGCGCAGAGAAUGGCCAGAACAAACAAACUUUGUUGAAGAAGCAUAUUUAUUUUGUUGUAGUCUUGUGUUUCACCGCGCGGUUGUGCAUGAUUGUUAUGAGGGCUUCACGAGUAUUAGUUCCAACGAUGACCCGCGGUUUGCGCAAGAGCGUCGGCACUUGUUUAAAGCCGAUGACGUGGGCGCCUGUAACCUGUGGUAGGCUCAGUCGAGUGUUCAUUGCAGAAACCAGUCUUACCUAGUAAUCAUGGUGUGUAAAACGUUGAAGAUUGGCAUAAGAAACUUGCAAAGCUUGCGGGUGUGAUAAUGAACUGGAUAGUGCUCGGAAAUAUAUCCUUUCUAGUUACU